Molecule: ribosomal RNA, 1183 nt
Filed under: uncultured Campylobacterota bacterium
Lineage: Bacteria; Pseudomonadati; Campylobacterota
Description: bacterial SSU rRNA
Rfam family: Bacterial small subunit ribosomal RNA
Source: RNAcentral
UGAGAGGAUGAUCAGUCACACUGGAACUGAGACACGGUCCAGACUCCUACGGGAGGCAGCAGUGGGGAAUAUUACACAAUGGAGGAAACUCUGAUGUAGCAACGCCGCGUGGAGGAUGACACAUUUCGGUGCGUAAACUCCUUUUAUAUGGGAAGAUAAUGACGGUACCAUAUGAAUAAGCACCGGCUAACUCCGUGCCAGCAGCCGCGGUAAUACGGAGGGUGCAAGCGUUACUCGGAAUCACUGGGCGUAAAGCGCAUGUAGGCGGUCUUGUAAGUUGGGUGUGAAAGCCUAUGGCUCAACCAUAGAACUGCACCCAAAACUACUAGACUAGAGUCUGGGAGAGGAAAAUGGAAUUAGUUGUGUAGGGGUAAAAUCCGUAGAGAUAACUAGGAAUACCAAAAGCGAAGGCAAUUUUCUGGAACAGUACUGACGCUCAGAUGCGAAAGCGUGGGUAGCAAACAGGAUUAGAUACCCUGGUAGUCCACGCCCUAAACGAUGAAUGUUAGUCGUCGGGAGGCUCGUCCUUUCGGUGAUGCAGCUAACGCAUUAAACAUUCCGCCUGGGGAGUACGGUCGCAAGAUUAAAACUCAAAGGAAUAGACGGGGACCCGCACAAGUGGUGGAGCAUGUGGUUUAAUUCGAAGAUACGCAAAGAACCUUACCUAGCCUUGACAUUGAUAGAAUCCGAUGGAAACAUUGGAGUGCCAGUUUACUGGAGCUUGAAAACAGGUGCUGCACGGCUGUCGUCAGCUUGUGUCGUGAGAUGUUGGGUUAAGUCCCGCAACGAGCGCAACCCUCGUCCUUAGUUACUAACGGUUCGGCCGAGGACUCUAAGGAGACUGCCUUCGUAAGGAGGAGGAAGGUGAGGACGACGUCAAGUCAUCAUGGCCCUUACGGCUAGGGCGACACACGUGCUACAAUGGAUAGGACAAUGAGACGCAAUACCGCGAGGUGGAGCAAAUCUAUAAACCUAUUCUCAGUUCGGAUUGUAGUCUGCAACUCGACUACAUGAAGCUGGAAUCACUAGUAAUCGUAGAUCAGCCAUGCUACGGUGAAUACGUUCCCGGGUCUUGUACUCACCGCCCGUCACACCAUGGGAGUUGAUUUCACCCGAAGCGGGGAAGCUAAAUCUGGCUACCCUCCACGGUGGAAUCAGCGACUGGGGUGAAGUGGUAACAAGG